GUGGGUUAUAUUUUUCAACAUUCCCAUUAAGUACGAAUAUCGGGUGUAUCAAGUAACGAAUGAAAUUUUUUUCUGUAACAUACAUAUUUCUCAAUUUUAUCAAUUCUUGUUCAGCCUCAAAUAUUGAAAGUAUCGAUAUUACGAAAGCCAUCACUGGUUGCAUCAAUAGUACCCAAUUGAAUUUCAAACAGUGGUGCUAUAUAUAGCGCUUAUAUCGUGCAUAAUCCUAAUAUUUUUUAUGGUUUUUUCCUACAAACAAUAUAAAAAUAGUGCGCAUGUUGAAGUAGAUUUGAAAACAAAAAUUUCCAGAUAUUUCGCAACAAAUUUGGACCAUGCUUUCAGAAAAGCCACUGCGCUGAACAUUUACCCUCAGACAUUUCAACACAAUACAUAUUUUUUCUGUAUGCACUAACACCAACGCACUUGUUCGGGCUUUUUUUUAACCUAGAUACGAUGAAAAAAAGUUAUCUCAUUUCUUGAUCUUAUAGAAUGAGUGCGAAUAAGAAAACAUAAUCAUCAUUAAGGCAAAAAGAAAAUCCCAAAAAGGGUAAUAAAAAAACGAUUAAAAAACGCAAGUCAUUCGCGCUAAUUAAAAAAGCAUUGGAAAUAUCAGCAGUUUCAACAAUUAUAGCAGGAGCAGCAAAUAUAAAUUGUUGGAUAAGUUUUAUCACAUGAUAUUAUGAGAUAAUAGGUGUUUACUUCAUGUUUUUAAUCGGCUUGUGCAGUGAAAUAUAAUGUGUGAAAACAAAUGUGUAUUUUCUAUGUUUAAAGUGGCCUGCGUAGUGGAAAAAUUACGCGAAUACAAAUGUUUGUUUUAUUUUCAUAUUAUAUACAACAAACGAAAAUCGACUUAAAUAACUUGUUAUACGUUAAUGAUUUCAUAGUGAUUUCUAUUUGUUUUUUAGAUAAUAAUCGAUAAAGGACUAGGGUGGCAUAUUUUGAUACAGUAAUUAAUCUUUUUCAGAAAAUAUUAUUAUUUAUUACUAUCGAUUUCUUAAUAAUAAUUAUUAGUACUAUUAUAAUUAGUAUUAAUUCAUUAGAAAUUGUAUAUUAAUAAAGAGGAAAUAAAGAAAUGUUAAUAAAAAAUAUUUGCUUAACCCUUGCGUUGCCACCCAAAAAAAUCACACUGUCUGCCGCCCAGGGUACCCGGGUACCCGUACGCAAAUUGGUGCGUAUAAGUGCGUUAUACGUAAAAAUAAUUGAGUGCAUUCUAUCAGGAUCUAUUUACUGACAUCUUAGAAAGGUAUUUCUGCUUGAAAGUACCAUAUAAAUUAUGUACAGACACCUACAUAGUCCUAAAUCAGCAAUAAAACGCGCGCUGCUCUAAUGUAAAUUUCUGGAUUCUGCGAAGGCCAGUUCCGUGGAAUUCGAGUUGUGGGGAAACAGGUCGUUCUUUGAAUUGGUUUGUACUUCAGGAACGUUCGAGAAUGCUGUGAAACGAAUAUAAGCUGUAUAGUUCAGUUUCUGUUAUUGACUCGAAGAAGCCAGACGUAUCGCUGUUUGGAUAGUUCUUUAGCGUGUAAUUGUAUUUUAUUUAUAUAAGUCAGAUAAAUAAAAGGAUGGAGGAGUUAUCGAAAUCGCAGUUUUUGAGAUUGAGCGAGGCUCAAAAAGAGGAGUAUAUCAGAAAAUUGGAUGAGGACGUUGACGCCGCGAUCGACAGUGAAGAUCCGUCAGACAGCGAAGACGACGAUUGGUUUCCGGACGGUAUUUAAGCGUCAGAUACUGAAGAUUACGAACAGGAUGGAGCAGCUGAAAUUGAAGAGGAUACAAGUGAUCGUGAAGCUCCAGAGGGUGAAGAAGAAGAGGAUGAUGACGACGAUGAGGAAGAGGGCGACGACAAUGAAGUAGCUGUAUCGACUUCUAAUAGUCGGUCAGACAGUUCAAGUGUUCCACCCAAUACAAGUACAACAUUUAUAGCAAAAGAUGGAAUAAAACCGCACGCCCAAAUCAUCAGAUUCCUGCUAGAAAUAUUGUGAGGCAAAGAGCUGGACCUCAUAGGAGUACGGAAAUGUUGUCAAUCGCUCAAACAUUAAAAAAAAUUAUCACGUUGGAAAUGGUCGAUAUUAUUGUUCGCUGCACGAAUAAAAAAGCAGAAGCCGUGUAUUGAGUUUACAACAAACAACAUCCAGAAAAUGAACCUCGUGUAUGGAAAAAAGUAACAGUGACAAAGAUGUAUUCCUUUUUUGGAGUAUUGAUAUCUGCUGGUGCAAAUAACUCAAACACAGAUCAUGUAAAUAAAAUGUGGAAGAAAAAUGCUUAUCCGUUAUAUCGUGCAACAAUGGGACGAAUACGCUUUCAGUCGCUUUUACGGUUCAUACGUUUCGAUGAUUAUACAACACGCCCGGCUCGAGUAGCCAAUGAUAAAGCUGCUCUUAUUUCAGAUAUAUGGAAGAUGCUGAAUGCCAACUUAGCUGCAUUGUAUCGACCAACGGAACACUUGACCAUCGACGAACAGCUCUACCCUUUCAGAGGAAGAACUAAGUUUACUCAGUAUAUGCCAUCCAAGCCUGCUAAAUACGGUCUGCAAGUAUUUUGGUUGUGCGAUGCAAGUAAUGCUUAUCCACUGAAAGGGAUUUUGUAUACAGGUAAACAAGGUAAUACUCGAGAAGUCAAUCAAGCUGAAUGAGUUGUCAAAGACCUGGUCAGCGAUUAUAAAGGAUCUUGCCGAAAUAUAACCACGGACAGAUUUUUCACAACUUUACCUUUGGCGGAGACUCUGUUAUCUUGGAAACUUACUAUCGUCGGUACAUUGAAAAAAAAAUAAGACGUUUAUACCUCAAGAAAUGAAACCGUCAAGGUCUAGAGAAGUACUGUCAACUCUUUUCGGAUUUCAUGAAAAAGCUACUAUCUGCUCAUACGUUCCAAAGAAAAACAAAGCUGUAAUACUUCUUAGUGCGAUGCACUACGGUUAUGAAAUUUCUGAUGCAGCUCACAAAAAACAAGAAAUGAUUUUGUUUUAUAAUCAAACAAAAGCUGGAGUUGACACCAUGGAUCAAAUGUGUUCGAGGUAUUCCACCCAACGGCGAACGUGUAGAUGGCCGCUGGCUUUCUUUUUCAAUAUCCAGCAAAUAACAGCAUGCUUCAUAAGAAAACGAACAGACGGAGACUUUUUCUUCGACAAUUGUCAGAAGAGUUAGCAAUGUGCGAUAAGCCCGUAUGCGAACAGCAUUCGGUAAACAUUUCUAAAUGUUUACAUUGCAAUAAUUAAAUUUUAAUUUUUCUUAAUUUUUUAAUUAAUUCUUAAAAUAGUAAUAAUAAUAUUAUUUUGCGACAUGAAGUUAAAAAAAUGAAUGAAAUGAAAAAAAAAAAAAUGAAACGAAUUUUUAGCUUUUUAC
Molecule: long non-coding RNA, 3335 nt
Organism: Bactrocera neohumeralis
Lineage: Eukaryota; Metazoa; Arthropoda; Insecta; Diptera; Tephritidae
Exons: 3
Source: RefSeq, a predicted model, not a curated record